Molecule: long non-coding RNA, 1031 nt
Filed under: Ursus maritimus (polar bear)
Lineage: Eukaryota; Metazoa; Chordata; Mammalia; Carnivora; Ursidae
Description: lncRNA (ENSUMAG00000009110.1)
Source: RNAcentral
UUGCUGGUCGGUGUUACAUUGACUUCUUCGUGUCCUACUCCGUGCUCAGAGGAUCCUGGGGAUGCUGUGAUUUUCAGGCAAAGCCAGCUCUCUUGCUGCCAAUGAUCAGAAAACAUCAGACAAACUGCCAGCACAUCUGGGCCUCUGCCCAAGCAUCUGGCUGCACACUUCCCUAACCGUGUACCUUCAGCCGCAUUUCAGAUUGGCCUUGGCUGUGAACCCUGCACCCCAUACUCCAGGUCAAGACUGGUGAGGAGAAAGGUCAAGGGGGGAGACUCCUGUGAAUGCAUUAAAGCCAGAAAGAAUGUGAUUUGUUAACCGGAAAACAUUCUGUUUACCUCUGUGUGUAGCCGUGUGUGCAUUUUGUCCACCCGAAGUGCUCUUUGCCCUUGUCUCUGCCGGUCCAAGCCCCUCGCCAAACCCCUGCAGAACUGCGUGAGAAUUCACAGCCUCCAGCCGACAGACGUCCACGUCUCUGCCCUAGCUCCUGCAUGUCUCCGCCACCCUACAGGAGGGAAUGUGGAUGCGAGCUGUUCACAAGAGACUGACGGAUCAGUGCUCCAAUGUUAAUUUAGACCGAGGAACACAACUGCUAGUGGAGAGAAAGCGGGGAUCACAGGUGAUGUCGUGUGCUGGUCAAGGAAACAUGCAGAGCAUACGAUUUUCGGCCGUCACUUGGGACGACAGGAGACAGGUGGAGAGUGGGUCAGAGGGCAAAUUACAAGUUCCCUGCUGCUCAGCCAAUUUUCGAGAGAACAUCCUCAAAAAAAGCAAAAGACAUUCUGUCUUUAUGGUCAUGAAACAAGGAGGGAAACCUCUGUUUUUAUCCAUAAACUUCUCCUUUGGACUAAAAAAAUGUGCUAAACUUGCUCUGUCCUCAAAUGGAAAGUAACACAAACAAAAUCGAGACAAUUAAGGAGGGCACGUAUUGCAUGGAGCACUGGGUGUUAUACGCAAACAAUGAAUCAUGGAACUUUACAUCAAAAACUAGGGAUGUACUGUAUGGUGACUAACAUAACGUAAUAAAAAAU